This 301-nucleotide ribosomal RNA is filed under the name uncultured bacterium. RNAcentral describes it as "partial 16S ribosomal RNA". It matches the Rfam family "Bacterial small subunit ribosomal RNA", at positions 509 to 809 of the family's 1533-position model. The record is from RNAcentral.
CAGCAGCGCGGUAAAACGUAGGUCCCGAGCGUUGUCCGGAUUUAUUGGGCGUAAAGCGAGCGCAGGCGGUUAGAUAAGUCUGAAGUUAAAGGCUGUGGCUUAACCAUAGUACGCUUUGGAAACUGUUUAACUUGAGUGCAAGAGGGGAGAGUGGAAUUCCAUGUGUAGCGGUGAAAUGCGUAGAUAUAUGGAGGAACACCGGUGGCGAAAGCGGCUUUCUGGUCUGUAACUGACGCUGAUGUGCGAAAGCGUGGGGAGCAAACAGGAUUAGAUACCCGCGUAGUCCCUGUCUCUUAUACAC